Long non-coding RNA from Oenanthe melanoleuca, 880 nucleotides. RefSeq lists it as uncharacterized. Lineage: Eukaryota; Metazoa; Chordata; Aves; Passeriformes; Muscicapidae. The record is from RefSeq and is a predicted model, not a curated record. The transcript is spliced from 4 exons.
GACGCUCCUAGCAACGCUCCUAGCAACCGGGCAACAUCUGCUCCCGCUGGACCAAUCCGCGCGGGGAACAUCUGGGCACCCACCUCGGCGGGCUGCGGCCGGGAGGGGAUGCGCUCCUCAGUGGCUGCAGGGACCCGCAGGAGCUGCCACCGCCGCCAGCACCGCCAGCACCGCCAGCACCGCCAGCACCUCCUCCAGGAGCAGCGAGGGAAGGACGGAGCAGCCCUCCCUCCCGCUGGAGCCGGGGUGACCGUUCAGCAGUGCCGUGCUGCCAGAAAUGCUCGCUGAGCCCGUGCGAGGGGGAUAUCUUACCAGAACUGCUGAGAUUAGCCCAGAAAGAGCCUCUGCAGACUGACUCCGCAUCCUCAGAGCUGAUCUGAUCGGGGCCUACCAAAGACAUUAACGACGUCGAAAGUAGCUUACUUUAAGAGAAAAUAUGCAGAAGAAGAACAUUUACAUCAAGAUUACCAUGAGUAUUGUCCAAAACACCUGAUACUCCCAGAGGACCGGACUUGUAUCCUGAAACUAUCUCUGCAGAAACUGCGCUUCCUGGACGACCCCGAAGCCUACCUGCGUAGGUCUGUAUUAAUUAACAAUCUGUUGAGGAAGAUUCACCUAGAGACAGAGAGGGAGAGCUAUGAAUACUUUAAGGAGGCUCCGUGCUAUAGGACUGCCUACUCUGACGCUCGAAAACGGCUGAAGCUGGUGGUGCAGGAGUGCUGUUCCCAGUCGCUCUAUUAUGAAGAGCUGCACUCGUAUCGCAUCGUGCCUUACUCUGCAGAGAGCGCCGUCUACGGGAUGGGCUACACGGGCAGCCACCUGGAGCAAAACUCUCAGUUGCUUAUUUAUAAAAUGAAUUAAAAGUAGCUGUUAGACCCAC